RNAcentral lists this ribosomal RNA (462 nucleotides) under uncultured bacterium. RNAcentral describes it as "partial 16S ribosomal RNA". It matches the Rfam family "Bacterial small subunit ribosomal RNA", at positions 28 to 507 of the family's 1533-position model. The record is from RNAcentral.
GACGAAUGCUGGCGGCGUGCUUAACACAUGCAAGUCGAGCGGAAAGGCCCUUCGGGGUACUCGAGCGGCGAACGGGUGAGUAACACGUGAGUAACCUGCCCCAGACUUUGGGAUAACCCUCGGAAACGGGGGCUAAUACCGGAUACGACACAGCUUCGCAUGGGGUCUGUGUGGAAAGUUUUUCGGUUUGGGAUGGGCUCGCGGCCUAUCAGCUUGUUGGUGGGGUGAUGGCCUACCAAGGCGACGACGGGUAGCCGGCCUGAGAGGGCGACCGGCCACACUGGGACUGAGACACGGCCCAGACUCCUACGGGAGGCAGCAGUGGGGAAUAUUGCACAAUGGGCGGAAGCCUGAUGCAGCGACGCCGCGUGAGGGAUGACGGCCUUCGGGUUGUAAACCUCUUUCAGCAGGGACGAAGCGUAAGUGACGGUACCUGCAGAAGAAGCGCCGGCCAACUACGUG